Molecule: ribosomal RNA, 844 nt
Filed under: Vitreorana castroviejoi
Lineage: Eukaryota; Metazoa; Chordata; Amphibia; Anura; Centrolenidae
Description: partial 16S ribosomal RNA
Rfam family: Bacterial large subunit ribosomal RNA
Source: RNAcentral
UUCUAAUUUCUUUAUUACCUAAAAACCCUUAAACAAUAUUGAGUAAUUCUAUACUACUAUAGAAGAUUUUAUGUUAAAACUAGUAACAAGAAGAAGCACUUCUUUACAAUGCAAGUGUAUAUCAGACAGGACACACCACUGAUAAUUAGCACUAAUGAAGAAAAAGUAGUAACUUAGCAAGAAAAUCCUACUAUAUUACAUGUUAAUCUAACACCAGAGCAUUACAAAAAAGAUUAAAAGAAAAGGAAGGAACUCGGCAAACAUUAACCUCGCCUGUUUACCAAAAACAUCGCCUCUUGAAUAAAUAUAAGAGGUCCAGCCUGCCCAGUGACUCUGUUCAACGGCCGCGGUAUCCUAACCGUGCGAAGGUAGCGUAAUCACUUGUUCUUUAAAUGAGGACUAGUAUGAAUGGCACCACGAAGGUUAUACUGUCUCCCUUUUCUAAUCAGUGAAACUAAUCUCCCCGUGAAGAAGCGAGGAUAAAUAUAUAAGACGAGAAGACCCUAUGGAGCUUUAAACUACGUAACACUUGCACUAAUUAAACAUAACUUUCAGAAAAUCCCACUUUAUCUCUGCAAUAUGAUUACCAGUUUUAGGUUGGGGUGACCGCGGAGCAAAAAAUAACCUCCACAUUGAAAGGAACUCACUCCUUAGCUAAGAGCUACACCUCCAUGCACCAAUAUAAUGACAUCAAUUGACCCAAUAUUUUUGAUCAACGAACCAAGUUACCCUAGGGAUAACAGCGCAAUCCACUUCAAGAGCUCCUAUCGACAAGUGGGUUUACGACCUCGAUGUUGGAUCAGGGUAUCCCGGUGGUGCAGCCGCUACCAAAGGUUCGUUUGUU